Molecule: ribosomal RNA, 380 nt
Filed under: uncultured Methylomonas sp.
Lineage: Bacteria; Pseudomonadati; Pseudomonadota; Gammaproteobacteria; Methylococcales; Methylococcaceae
Description: bacterial SSU rRNA
Rfam family: Bacterial small subunit ribosomal RNA
Source: RNAcentral
GCCGGGAACUCUAGGGAGACUGCCGGUGAUAAACCGGAGGAAGGUGGGGACGACGUCAAGUCAUCAUGGCCCUUAUGGGUAGGGCUACACACGUGCUACAAUGGUCGGUACAGAGGGUUGCGAGCUCGCGAGAGUCAGCCAAUCCCAAAAAGCCGAUCCUAGUCCGGAUUGCAGUCUGCAACUCGACUGCAUGAAGUCGGAAUCGCUAGUAAUCGCGGAUCAGAAUGCCGCGGUGAAUACGUUCCCGGGCCUUGUACACACCGCCCGUCACACCAUGGGAGUGGGUUGCAAAAGAAGUAGGUAGUUUAACCUUCGGGAGGGCGCUUACCACUUUGUGAUUCAUGACUGGGGUGAAGUCGUAACAAGGUAGCCGUAGAAUC